RNAcentral lists this ribosomal RNA (516 nucleotides) under uncultured bacterium. RNAcentral's name for it is "partial 16S ribosomal RNA". It matches the Rfam family "Bacterial small subunit ribosomal RNA", at positions 29 to 523 of the family's 1533-position model. The record is from RNAcentral.
AAUGAACGCUGGCGGCGUGCCUAAUACAUGCAAGUCGAGCGGACGUUUUUGAAGCUUGCUUCAAAAACGUUAGCGGCGGACGGGUGAGUAACACGUGGGCAACCCACCUUAUCGACUGGGAUAACUCCGGGAAACCGGGGCUAAUACCGGAUAACAUCUAGCACCUCCUGGUGCCGGAUUAAAAGAGGGCUUCUUGCUCUCACGAUGAGAUGGGCCCGCGGCGCAUUAGCUAGUUGGAGAGGUAACGGCUCCCCAAGGCGACGAUGCGGAGCCGACCGGAGAGGGAGGCCGGCCACACUGGGACUGAGACACGGCCCAGACUCCUACGGGAGGCAGCAGUCGGGAAUCUUCCGCAAUGGACGAAAGUCUGACGGAGCAACGCCGCGUGAGUGAUGAAGGGUUUCGGCUCGUAAAGCUCUGUUAUGAGGGAAGAACACGUACCGUUCGAAUAGGGCGGUACCUUGACGGUACCUCAUCAGAAAGCCACGGCUAACUACGUGCCAGCCGCCGCAGUAA